This 525-nucleotide ribosomal RNA is filed under the name uncultured Gammaproteobacteria bacterium. RNAcentral's name for it is "bacterial SSU rRNA". It matches the Rfam family "Bacterial small subunit ribosomal RNA", at positions 360 to 875 of the family's 1533-position model. The record is from RNAcentral. Lineage: Bacteria; Pseudomonadati; Pseudomonadota; Gammaproteobacteria.
AAUAUUGGACAAGGGGCACAAACGUGAUUCCAGCAAAGGCGCGCGUGUGAAGAAGACCUGCGGGGUGUAAAGCACUUUCACUGGGGAAGAAUACCUUGGUUUCAAUACCCUCGGGGGUUGACGUUACCCACAGAAAAAGCCCCGGCUAACUCCGUGCCAGCAGCCGCGGUAAUACGGAGGGGGCAAGCGUUAAUCGGAAUCACUGGGCGUAAAGCGCGCGUAGGCGGCAACGUAAGUCAGAUGUGAAAUCCCUGGGCUCAACCGGGGAAGGGCAUUUGAGACUGCGUCUCUAGAGUCUGAGAGAGGGGGGUGGAAUUCCGGGUGUAGCGGUGAAAUGCGUAGAGAUCGGGAGGAACACCAGUGGCGAAGGCGGCCCCCUGGCUCAAGACUGACGCUGAGGCGCGAAAGCGUGGGGAGCAAACAGGAUUAGAUACCCGGGUAGUCCACGCCGUAAAAGAUGUAGACUAGGUGUGGGGGCCAUUCUAACCGCUCGUGCCGCAGCUAACGCGAUAAGUGAUCCGCCUG